GAGGAGAGAGGGAGAAGAGAAAAUAGUGGAAAGAGAGAGGGCAGAGCAGACUGCAUUUCCAGACUGCGAGAUAGGGGCAUUAGACGGAGAAUCUACUAAGAGAGUUCAAGAGAGAAAGGAGGGGGAUCAUGGAGGAGUCAGCAGUGAGUUGAAUGGUGGCUUAGUGUGGGACUGCCCAAUUCUGGUUCUGGUUUUCAUCCUCUCCUUCUAAUCAGGGACUGAUUCAGACCUGGUACACAAGCCAAAAUGACCCGAGCGGCCCAGCUGGACAUCCAGUGAUCCAGAUCCAGCUGAAAGAGACCGGACCGAUUCACACCUACAUAACGAACGCCACCUGCCAUCCUACUUGAACGCAUACCUGCUUGAGCGGGGUGUCAGCGUUGGAAUUCAGAGAUGAGGCCUGGGUCCAGGAUGUCCCUCGCUGAGACCCAGCACCUCUCCUCC
Molecule: long non-coding RNA, 444 nt
Organism: Oncorhynchus tshawytscha (Chinook salmon)
Lineage: Eukaryota; Metazoa; Chordata; Actinopteri; Salmoniformes; Salmonidae
Source: Ensembl